Long non-coding RNA from Sapajus apella (tufted capuchin), 116 nucleotides. RefSeq lists it as uncharacterized. The record is from RefSeq and is a predicted model, not a curated record. NCBI's taxonomy places the organism in Eukaryota, Metazoa, Chordata, Mammalia, Primates, Cebidae. The transcript has 3 exons.
CCCGCUUCCCUGGAGCCAAUCAGAGCACCCAGCUGUUGCUCGUUACCCAUAGCCACAAAAACCCCACGCCCCAGGAAGUCAGCGCGACUUCUCUGGCCCCUCAUUGUAAUUGUUAC